GGGUUAGUAGGUUGGUCAUGCCUCUGGUAUGUACUGGUCUCACUGAUUCCUCCUUCCUGAUGAACCUUAAUGCCAUUUAUUUGGUGUUUUGGGGAAUUUGGACUGUUACUUUGAAAAAAUUAGAGUGUUUAAAGCAGGCUUACGCCCGAAUACAUUAGCAUGGAAUAAUGAAAUAGGACGUUCGAUCCUAUUUUGUUGGUUUCUGAAUCACCGUA
Molecule: ribosomal RNA, 215 nt
Filed under: Campeiostachys nutans
Lineage: Eukaryota; Viridiplantae; Streptophyta; Magnoliopsida; Poales; Poaceae
Description: Elymus nutans partial small subunit ribosomal RNA
Rfam family: Eukaryotic small subunit ribosomal RNA (bases 40-215)
Source: RNAcentral